Ornithorhynchus anatinus (platypus) is the source of this 217-nucleotide long non-coding RNA. RefSeq lists it as uncharacterized. NCBI's taxonomy places the organism in Eukaryota, Metazoa, Chordata, Mammalia, Monotremata, Ornithorhynchidae. The transcript has 2 exons. The record is from RefSeq and is a predicted model, not a curated record.
AUCGGUUGUCUGCCGAUGACCUUGGCCAAGUCACUUCGCCCCUCCGGACCUCGGCCCCCUCAUCGGUGAAAAUGCGGAUUGAGGCGGUCGCUCCCCUGUGGGGCACGGACCGUACAGAAGAGGACUGAUCUACCUUCAGUGAAUGCCUCUGAGAAGCUGAGAAGCUACCCAGAGGUCUGGCUAAGAAGAUGCUAAAUGCAGCAAGGGAAAAUGGAAA